This 472-nucleotide ribosomal RNA is filed under the name uncultured bacterium. Its description in RNAcentral is "bacterial SSU rRNA". It matches the Rfam family "Bacterial small subunit ribosomal RNA", at positions 28 to 507 of the family's 1533-position model. The record is from RNAcentral.
GACGAACGCUGGCGGCGUGCCUAACACAUGCAAGUCGAACGGACUUGAUUUGAUAGCUUGCUAGAGGAUCAAGUUAGUGGCGGACGGGUGAGUAACACGUGGAUAAUCUGCCUGUUACCCUGGGAUAACACUGUGAAAACGGUGCUAAUACCGGAUGACUUCAAUAUUACGCAUGUAGGAUUGAAGAAGGGAAACCGGUAACAGAUGAGUUCGCGGCUGAUUAGCUAGUUGGUGGGGUAAGAGCCUACCAAGGCGACGAUCAGUAGCCGGCCUGAGAGGGUGAACGGCCACACUGGAACUGAGACACGGUCCAGACUCCUACGGGAGGCAGCAGUGGGGAAUUUUCCGCAAUGGGCGAAAGCCUGACGGAGCAACGCCGCGUGGGUGAAGAAGGCCUUCGGGUUGUAAAGCCCUGUCUUAUGGGAAGAAGGAAGUGACGGUACCAUAGGAGGAAGCCACGGCUAACUACGUG